GAUCCUGGCUCAGGAUGAACGCUAGCUACAGGCUUAACACAUGCAAGUCGAGGGGCAUCAGUUUGGUUUGCUUGCAAACCAAAGCUGGCGACCGGCGCACGGGUGAGUAACACGUAUCCAACCUGCCUCAUACUCGGGGAUAGCCUUUCGAAAGAAAGAUUAAUAUCCGAUAGCAUAUAUUUCCCGCAUGGGUUUANAUUAAAGAAUUCGGUAUGAGAUGGGGAUGCGUUCCAUUAGUUUGGUUA
This 245-nucleotide ribosomal RNA is filed under the name uncultured bacterium. RNAcentral's name for it is "partial 16S ribosomal RNA". It matches the Rfam family "Bacterial small subunit ribosomal RNA", at positions 15 to 252 of the family's 1533-position model. The record is from RNAcentral.